Oncorhynchus tshawytscha (Chinook salmon) is the source of this 2782-nucleotide long non-coding RNA. Lineage: Eukaryota; Metazoa; Chordata; Actinopteri; Salmoniformes; Salmonidae. The record is from Ensembl.
UACCAUAGGACCUGGUCUAAUGUACUGACAGUCCAUUGGUCUCCUCUCCAUCACCGAGCUCUCACUGAAAGCUGACAGUCCAUUGGUCCCCUCUCCAUCACCGAGCUCUCACUGAAAGCUGACAGUCCAUUGGUCCCCUCACCAUCACCGAGCUCUCACUGAAAGCUGACAGUCCAUUGGUCCCCUCACCAUCACCGAGCUCUCACUGAAAGCUGACAGUCCAUUGGUCUCCUCUCCAUCACCGAGCUCUCACUGAAAGCUGACAGUCCAUUGGUCUCCUCUCCAUCACAGAGCUCUCACUGAAAGCUGAUGGGUACAUUUUUUUACAUUUCAUUACAUUUUUUAAAUAGAUACAUUUUUUAACAUAAAGGUGUCAUAUUUUUAGUUUUUAUUUAAAUUCCCUCGUUUUUCAGAAAUCCUGGUCCUAGGGUUCUGAGUUCCCUGCUUAUUCAGGAAAUCCUGCAUCUGGGAUUUCUGUAAAACCAGGGAAUUCAUUGAAAGUUCACAGAAUUUUUCAACCCUGGUCACCUGACCAUCUUUCCUCUGUAAAUUAAUGUUAGAAGACUAGUCGUCUAAGUUGACCCAGUUCUUACAGGGCUGGUUUCCCGGACCCAGAUGAAACACACUCAUGGACCCAGAUGAAACACACUCAUGGACUAAAACACUCUGUCAUUGAGAAUCUCCAUUGAAAGAGCUUCUUAGUCCAGGGGCUGUUAUGUAUCAUGUGUCUCAGAGGAGGAGUGCUGAUCUAGGAUCAGGUUCCCCCUGUCCAUAUAAUUAUAUUUGUUAUAAUCUUAAAGACAAAACUGGUCCUAGAUCAGCUCUGAGACCAUUGAUGCGGCCCCAGGAAUGUAGGCCUGAUCUGAGUGCAGGACUCUCGUAUACUGUCCGAUAAUGGAGGUAUACUGUAAUAUACCUUUUUUGUUUUGUAGAACAGAGUAACCCCCAAAAAAAACUGAUCCUUGAAAUAAAGUGAUUUUUUUUUGUGUGUGUUUUUAUAUUCUCAUUCUCCCUCCACUUUCUUUUCAAAGUAACUCACUAGCUCGGUUUCCGUCUAACUGACGGGAGAUUUUCAAUGCGAAUAUUGUAAAAUCUGCAUAAAAACAAUAUGCAAAUUUUCCCACGAGAGAGAGAGAUGUGUUUCCAUCAAACUGACUUGUAGCAGAUAAAAGGCUGUGAGUGAUGACAUGGUGCAUAUAAAAUACAUUGUUUUCAGGGUUAAAUUCCCACGUAACGACAAUCAGUUCCCGUUGCAUUUUCAGCUCUUGAUAGUUGUCUCACAAAACAUGUUGCGUUGUAUAGCGAGCGAUGAGAUUAUGUACUAAAGAGAGGAAUCAUUUUUAUUUGUCAAAGGGCAAUCCAGCAUCAAUCAUCGUGUCACCGGAAUAAGAUCCUCAAAAUGUAUUGAAAAUGAGCAUCAAGAUCACCGUGCUCUUUCACCACCCUGAGAAGUUCAUGAUUUCUACGUAUUUCAUCUGUAGCCUAAUAAACUGCUUGCUUUCCCGACGAGUCGUAGGGGAGGACCACACACCACGUAACUCAACGGUUACUUCCACUAUGAUGAUUAUUAUAUCAAUAUCUGUGCAUAAAAUCCCACCUUGUCCAGCGUAUUUUGUUUUUGUCGACAUUUGGAAAGUUUACCGAAAACAAAUGGUUGUUUCCGUCAGGCCUGUCAUGACAUUUUUACUUAACUCAAGAUUUUUUUUAAAAUCCAAAGUUGGGUGUAAACCUGGUUACAAAUACCUAUUACAAUUACAUUUAGCCAUUACUGCAGUGUAACACCAGGUGGCGCUGUAUUGCACUGUAAACCCAGCCAGUAGCACAGAGGUGACCAAAUCCUCUUCAUAUAGAGAGCUACCGACAGAGCAGGCUUUUGCUCCAGACCUAUUUUUAUUUAUUUACCCCAUUUUCUUUGGUAGUUACUGUCUUGUCCCAUCGAUUGGCACUCCCGAACGACGACGGUCGAGAGCCGUGCGUCCUCCGAAACAACCCGGCCAAGCCGCACUGUUUCUUGACACGCUGCCCGCUGAACCCGGAAGCCAGCCGCACCAAUGACUCGGAGGAAACGCCGUAACCUGGCAACCGUGUCAGCGUGCACUGCGCCCGGCCCGCCACAGGAGUCGCUAGAGCGCGAUUGGACAAGAACAUCCCUGCCGGACAAAACCCCUCCCAUAACCCGGACGACUCUGGGCCAGUUGUGCGCCGCCCCGUGGGUCUCCCGGUCGCGGCCGGCUGCUCAAGACCCGAACCAGGAUCUUUAGUGGCACAGCUAGAGAUCACUGUACCACUCGGGAGGCCCUGCUCCAGACCUAUUUUUACACAACACACCUGGUUCAGCUAAUCAAGGUUCUGAGUAUCAGCUGAUUAGUGAAAUCAGGUGUCACAGUAAGGCUGGAAUAAAACCUUGCUAUUGGUGUAUAGCUCUGGCCACUCCCACUCCUGGGUCCAGUUCAUUAGGGGCACACCGUAGCAAAACAUUUUGCAAUGGGGAGAAGGAGUAUUAUUGAGCUAGUGCAGGUAGUCCCUCCCUGUUUUUGUACCUGUUUAUUUACCGGAGUAACUAUUCACUGCACAACAACUAAAGAUGGCCAAGUUCAGUCCAUCAGCCAUCGGUCUCUUCAUAUCUCUCCUUAAUGAGCAGGUCAGGAUCAUUGAAGCAUUGGCCCAUAGUCUGGACACUCACCAUCUCAGGGGUGUUAGAAUGCUUCCCUAAUGGCCUCCUAUUCACUAUAUAGUACACUACUAUAGACCAGAGCCCUAUCCCCUAUAUAGUGCACUACUU